AGUGAACGCUGGCGGUAGGCCUAACACAUGCAAGUCGAACGGCAGCACAGGAGAGCUUGCUCUCUGGGUGGCGAGUGGCGGACGGGUGAGGAAUACAUCGGAAUCUACUUUUUCGUGGGGGAUAACGUAGGGAAACUUACGCUAAUACCGCAUACGACCUACGGGUGAAAGCAGGGGAUCUUCGGACCUUGCGCGAUUGAAUGAGCCGGUGUCGGAUUAGCUAGUUGGCGGGGUAAAGGCCCACCAAGGCGACGAUCCGUAGCUGGUCUGAGAGGAGUAUCAGGCACACGGGAACUGAGACACGGUCCAGACUCCUACGGGAGGCAGCAGUGGGGAAUAUUGGACAAUGGGCGCAAGCCUGAUCCAGCCAUACCGCGUGGGUGAAGAAGGCCUUCGGGUUGUAAAGCCCUUUUGUUGGGAAAGAAAUCCAGCUGGUUAAUACCCGGUUGGGAUGACGGUACCCAAAGAAUAAGCACCGGCUAACUUCGUGCCAGCCGCCGCCGUAA
RNAcentral lists this ribosomal RNA (506 nucleotides) under uncultured bacterium. RNAcentral describes it as "partial 16S ribosomal RNA". It matches the Rfam family "Bacterial small subunit ribosomal RNA", at positions 29 to 523 of the family's 1533-position model. The record is from RNAcentral.